Molecule: long non-coding RNA, 1289 nt
Organism: Lepus europaeus (European hare)
Lineage: Eukaryota; Metazoa; Chordata; Mammalia; Lagomorpha; Leporidae
Exons: 5
Source: RefSeq, a predicted model, not a curated record
UUCCCCACCUGUCAGCGGCUGGGGCGCAGGGGCAGGCCGUGGCGGAACCCUGGCGUGGGCAGAGGCCGGAGAGUGUUUUAGCCCACGGAGGAGUAUUCUCCGGCCUGUUAGCUCCCUCCGCACCGAGCAGGCAAGCAGGCUGUUCUGAGUUAGAUGUCCCUGUAACCCGCCGCGUGGAGCCCAGCACCGGACAGACUCUGAUUGUCCUGUGCAGACGGGGACCGAGUGCAGCCGUCUCGGCCAGGAGCUACAUGGAGGCUACGCAACCUUAUGCAGGGCUGACAUGAGCACGUGCCCCACAGGCUGACGGCUGCAGUCCCACCCCUGGAGACCUUCCUGCACAUAAAUAGGAGCACAAGUUGCAGAGGGCUGGCGUCUGCACCCCCAGGUCGCAUCCUCACUGUUCCGGGAAGCAGCAGGAGAGGAGGCAGGAGGAGUCCGCACCAAGGGUGUCUGCUGGCCCCUCUGGGAUGACCUGCUCCAUGUCCUUUCCCUAUGAAGAGGAGGGACCUAGAUGAGACACAGUGCACCAUGGGAAAGUGGACGCAGUAGAUUGACAGAUAAGGACACAGGGUUUCACUGCAGGGCUGGCAGUUCCAGCUCAUGUACUGCACCUAACUCCCAGCCUCCGUUCCCCCAUCAGCACCCUCCCAGAUUUCAGAAACACCAGUGUUAUCCCCUCAACAUUGUGGACCCGCUUCCUGGUGAGCUCCAAGAAAAUGCUGCGGGAGCAGCUGUCUCUCUCUCUGCCUUUCAGAUAAAUACAUAAAACGUAAGACAUUCUGAGGUCUGAUUAUUGUUUACAGCCCUUGUCUGAACCUUGAGGAUCAGUGGUUUUUCUGUUUACUGCUUGUUGAACAUUUCGUGGAGGGUUAAGUUUGUGAUUGUAAAAUAAACAAACUGUCAUUGUAAAAAUUAAAAGAAAAAACAAAGGAAGGAGGAGGGAGUCUCACUAUGCUCCUAAGUCUGUAUAUAUGAAAUACAUGACAUUUGUACAUUUUAUAGAAAUAAAAAAAAUUUAAAAAUAAAAUUAAAAGUUGUACAGAUACCUGUUCAUUACAGAAAAUCCAGAGAGGGAUGAGUAGUUUUUAAAAUAGCACUUGGUAAGCCACCUGCCAUAUCAGAGAGCCUUAUUCAAGUCCCACUCUGCUUCCAAUCCAGCCUCCUGCUAAUAGGCAUCAUGGGAGGACAGAUUAAGUUCUGGGCUCCAGGCUUCAACCUGGCCGAGUCCCAGCUACUGCGGGCAUUUGAGGAGUAAACCAGCAGCCAAAGAUUUUGUUUUCCCUCUC